RNAcentral lists this small RNA (910 nucleotides) under uncultured Cryptococcus. RNAcentral's name for it is "eukaryotic LSU rRNA". The stretch from base 624 to 910 matches the Rfam family "Eukaryotic large subunit ribosomal RNA", at positions 1 to 281 of the family's 3401-position model. The record is from RNAcentral. Lineage: Eukaryota; Fungi; Basidiomycota; Tremellomycetes.
CUUGGUCAUUUAGAGGAAGUAAAAGUCGUAACAAGGUUUCCGUAGGUGAACCUGCGGAAGGAUCAUUAGUGAAUUAAACAUGCUUGGUGUCUUCGCUUCGGCAAGGCCCUUGCUUAACUCACAUCCCAACACCUGUGAACUGUAAGGCGCAUGACUAGGUUCGCCCAAGUCAUCGUCUGCCCUUUUUAACAAACAAUUAAUGUAACAAACGUAGUCUUAUUAUAACCUAAUAAAACUUUCAACAACGGAUCUCUUGGCUCUCGCAUCGAUGAAGAACGCAGCGAAAUGCGAUAAGUAAUGUGAAUUGCAGAAUUCAGUGAAUCAUCGAAUCUUUGAACGCACCUUGCGCUCUUUGGUAUUCCGAAGAGCAUGCCUGUUUGAGUGUCAUGAAAAUAUCAACCUUGACUUGGGUUUUGUGCUCUAGUCUCGGCUUGGAAUUGGGUGCUUGCCGCUUUUACGAGCGGCUCACCUUAAAUGUAUUAGCUGGAUCUGUCUUUGAGACUUGGUUUGACUUGGCGUAAUAAGUAUUUCGCUAAGGACAUUCUUCGGAGUGGCCUCGUUUCUAGGACGCUUGUCCGCUUUCCAAUACAAGUUCCACCUUGUGGACAUGACUUUUUAUUAUCUGGCCUCAAAUCAGGUAGGACUACCCGCUGAACUUAAGCAUAUCAAUAAGCGGAGGAAAAGAAACUAACAAGGAUUCCCCUAGUAACGGCGAGUGAAGCGGGAAAAGCUCAAAUUUGAAAUCUGGCAGCCUCAGGUUGCCCGAGUUGUAAUCUAUAGAAACGUUUUCCGCGCCGGCCCAUGUACAAGUCCCUUGGAACAGGGCGUCAUAGAGGGUGAGAAUCCCGUCCUUGACACGGACCACCGGUGCUUUGUGAUACGUUUUCAACGAGUCGAGUUGUUUGGGAAU